GCCAGCAUGGCAUAGUGGUUUGAGUGUUGGACUAUUAUGACACUGGAGACCAGGGUUCAAUUCCCAGCUCGGCCA
Molecule: transfer RNA, 75 nt
Filed under: Phrynosoma platyrhinos (Desert horned lizard)
Lineage: Eukaryota; Metazoa; Chordata; Lepidosauria; Squamata; Phrynosomatidae
Description: tRNA-OTHER
Source: RNAcentral